CCUACGGGAGGCAGCAGUGGGGAAUAUUGCUCAAUGGGGGAAACUCUGAAGCAGCAACGCCGCGUGGAGGAUGACGGUUUUAGGAUUGUAAACUCCUUUUGUUAGAGAAGAUUAUGACGGUAUCUAACGAAUAAGCACCGGCUAACUCCGUGCCAGCAGCCGCGGUAAUACGGAGGGUGCAAGCGUUACUCGGAAUCACUGGGCGUAAAGCGUGCGUAGGCGGGGUAAUAAGUCAGAUGUGAAAUCCUGUAGCUUAACUACAGAACUGCAUUUGAAACUGUUACUCUGGAGUGUGGGAGAGGUAGGUGGAAUUCGUGGUGUAGGGGUAAAAUCCGUAGAGAUCAAGAAGAACACUCAUUGCGAAGGCGACCUGCUGGAACAUUACUGACGCUGAUGCACGAAAGCGUGGGUAGCAAACAGGAUUAGAUACCCGGGUAGUC
RNAcentral lists this ribosomal RNA (440 nucleotides) under uncultured bacterium. RNAcentral describes it as "partial 16S ribosomal RNA". It matches the Rfam family "Bacterial small subunit ribosomal RNA", at positions 338 to 795 of the family's 1533-position model. The record is from RNAcentral.